CGAGUGCCUGCUGGAAAAGGACAGGAGCCGAGUGGGCCAGUACGUGCGCCAGGCCCUGCCGUACCUGGAGAGCCCAGAGGAGCCCCUGCGAAAGCUGGCCAUCAAGUUCCUGGGGAUCGCCGCCAGGUCCAUGAAGCAGGAGCAGCCAGAGCUGCAGCUCAU
Long non-coding RNA from Neopelma chrysocephalum (saffron-crested tyrant-manakin), 162 nucleotides. RefSeq lists it as uncharacterized. The record is from RefSeq and is a predicted model, not a curated record. NCBI's taxonomy places the organism in Eukaryota, Metazoa, Chordata, Aves, Passeriformes, Pipridae. The transcript has 3 exons.